Molecule: non-coding RNA, 115 nt
Organism: Peziza echinospora
Lineage: Eukaryota; Fungi; Ascomycota; Pezizomycetes; Pezizales; Pezizaceae
Source: the annotation of a GenBank genome assembly
GGUCGCGUGGCUCAAUUGGCAGAGCAUCGUGCUAAUAGAUAUACUAGCAUAUAACUACAAUCAUCCAGGUUGCAGAGUAACGCGAGGGUUGUGAGUUCGAGUCUCACCGUGACCA